Molecule: non-coding RNA, 1316 nt
Organism: Pelodiscus sinensis (Chinese soft-shelled turtle)
Lineage: Eukaryota; Metazoa; Chordata; Testudines; Trionychidae
Source: RefSeq, a predicted model, not a curated record
AGGGAGCUGUAGCUCUUCUGAGACACAGUUCUGCCUGAACCAGCAUAUCCAGCCAAGCUUCCCGAUUUCUUGUCUUCUUUUUCUCUUUCCUUUUCUCUCUUAUUCUCGCUUUCGUUCACUUACUCUCCCAUUUUUUGCCACUGUGCCAGAUAAAUUUAAAUGUAUCUGUUCAAGUGGAGAUAAUCCAUGCAAAUCAGAGGCACUGGCACCUAAUGCUCGAUUCACAAAGAGAACUCAGCUUCAGGAGGUCAUUCGUUCACAGCUGCUCCUCCCAUAAUAUUUUUUCCCUCAUUGCAGAACUGCUGCAUGUAUACAGUGACUGAAAGGACUCAAUUUACUACAACUGCAGCCUGGUUUUACUGACAACUUUCUUUAAAGGGGGACUUACCUUCCAUCUGUCUUGUAAAGAUUGCCCUUGGAGACAUUCAGUAGAAUCUGGAGCUGGCCCUCAUUAGCAGAGAACACCUGUGGUCUGCAAUGGCUACCUACCAAUUCACUUCUGGGAACAGCUCAAGAGGAUCAGUAGGAGCUUAAGGCCCUGACUAGUCUAGGACUGAGCUACCUGGGAAAGUGAAUCUCUGUGCCCUGUUGUGGUGUUUGAGAUAAAAUGUUGACAGAACUCAACACUCGGGACAUCUCCCCACCUGAUGCUGAGUGCUAUGGAGUCUAAACCUGGGACUCCAUCUUAUCACAGGACACUCAUUUUGAUUUUGCAUCUGGAGAAUUGCAUCUGUUGCAAAAUUUCAGCACUAUCUUAUUAAUGCAACAUAACCCUGCUCACCUCAAACUUUACUCCACCAGGACAAGAUGAGUAGGAGGAAUCAAUGGCAGAGCAUCAGCCGCUGAACUUACCGCACCUUACCACAUGAAAGACACCACAUGCCUUUAGCAGUUUCUGCAGGCUGUCCUCCUGGCCCUGUAAGAACACAAACCCCAGCUUAUUGUGGAGACCCUCAUCAUCUCCCUGCAGGUGCAGCUCUUCCAGCUGCACCCAUCAUGCAUCUGGACAUCAUUCCGACUGGUGCACCAGCUCAUUAUGGAGUGGUAGGACAAUCGGCAGUGGCUCCAGAAUUUCUGCAUGCAGAAGGAGACCUUUCUGGAGCUGUGUGAAUGGCUCAUCCCUGCCCUCAGGUAACAGGACACCCACAUGAGACCUGCUAUCCCCCUCAAGAAGUGGGUAGCCAUUGCUAUUUGGAAGCUUGCCAUGCUGGAUCUAUCAAGAACCAGUUCAGCAUGGGGAGGUCAACCGUCAGGGCCCUGGUCACACAGGUAUGGCCCCUUGGGCUAUUGUCCCAGGAAGGGGGUGAAGUGCUAGA